CCUCGUCCACACACGAAUAAAGAAACAAAACAUCAAAUUAAAAAAAAAACACACACACACACACACAAUAUCCUAUCUGCUUACGAAUCCUAAUUCAAUCUAACAACAGCCAUGGCUGACAAAAUACUUGUUCGGAGGAAGAAGAUCUGAUUUCAUCCCUCUCCUUAAUAAACUUCCGUUAUACCAAAAAUGUUGGGAGCUUUGCAAUUGGGUAUCAUGGCUGCCUUCGUGGUGGUUCUGGUACCCAUGGGCAUGGCCGGAUGGCAUCUCAGCCGCAACAAGAUGCUUUUCUUCAGUGGGGCCCUCUUCAUCACUCUCGCCAUUGGCGUCCACCUCACUCCUUACUUCCCUUCCGUGACCGACUUUGUCUCCUCCGUUUCCUCCGUCGUCAUCAUCGACAACCGCCACUCUUGUAUUUCCCUCCUCCACAACGUUGUUUGGAAUGUCACCCACUCUCGUCCCAACUCUUCCCAAUACGACAAGUCGUGGGCUUGGUCCUCCCACGACGACGCCGUUUCGGUUUGUGCCUUCCAGAAGCUCACCCGAUCCGACGCCUCUGAUCUCCUAAAUGGGUCGUGGGUCGUCGUUGCCGGCGAUUCCCAGUCCCGAUUCGUCGUCCUCUCGCUUCUGGGAUUGGUCAUGAAACCCCAAGCCGUCGAGUCCGUGAGAAGUGAUCUCUUCAAAAGGCACAGCGAUUACCGGACUGUGGUCGAUGAGAUCGGGAUGAGAUUGGAUUUCAUCUGGGCUCCGUACGCAUCCAAUUUGACCGAUUUGGUUAUGGCAUUCAAGCGAAGUAGGAACUCUCCCGACGUUUUGAUCAUGGGCUCAGGGUUAUGGCAUAUGCUUCGGGUCACGAAUGAAUCGGAUUACGGGGUUUCGUUACGGGUGUUGAGAAACUCCGUGGUUGCGUUGCUGCCAUUUUCGCCGGAGCUCGGAAUGGAUGGACCCGUGACGGGGUCCGUCUCCGUAAGAUCGCCGCAUCUUUUCUGGAUUGGAAUGCCGACAUUGAUAAACUCAAUGUUGAAUACGGAGGAGAAGAGGGUGAAAAUGACUGAUGAAAUGAGAAGCGCUUAUGAUAGAGAGCUAUGGAAAAGUAAGCUUUUGCGACAAUCUGGGGGACCCCUUUUGAUGCUUGAUAUGGCAUCAUUGAGUUGGAGUUGUGGAGUUCGGUGUACGGUCGACGGGAUGCAUUAUGAUUUGCCUGUCUACGAAGCUGCACUUCAGAUCAUGUUAAAUGCAUUGCUUAUUGAAUCUCAUCAAAAGCUCUGAACAAGAACACACACACACAGGCUUCUUCAUACCAUAUUUUAUGAUUCAAAGCUGCCUUUCUCUACGUACUCUUCUUAUAUGAGCUACUAUUUUGGGACCGUAUCCAAGCAGACUCUACACCAUUAAAUAAAAUUGAACAAGUUUCUACAGAGACAUGUUCCACCUAUUGUAUCCAACUGAGAAAGAUGCCCCGUUACCCCCCCAAAAAACAACCACCUCGAAGACUGAUCGGGUCGAAAAAGUAAUAGAAAAAAGUCCUGAUGCAGCAUCAGGGGAUGAGGGAAUAUCAAAGGCUGGGGACAUCAUCACCCGGUGCUCGUUCGAGAGAAUUGGCCGAAUCUUAUCAGUCAUGUCGCCAGAGCAAAAGGAGGUGGCUGCAAUCACAGGAUUCGGUUCUCUAAUGAGGAUUGAUGGUCCGAGCACUAAUAGUAGCUUAAUUCAAUGGUUGGUUAAGAACGUUGACACGACCGAUAACAAGUUAUGCAUAUAUGGAAAGGAGUUCUACAUCAACGCUGCUGCCUUUGAAAGGGUGAUGAAUAUAAAAGAUGGGGGAACAAAGAUUAAAAUGAUCGGCCCACUUCCUAAAACAGAUUUGGUGAAUGCUGUUGUGGGAAAAGAAUGCAGCGUUUGCUUGAGGAAGCUGGAGAAAGACCCGAGGGAGUCACAAGACGCCGACGACCUCUUCAUUGCAAGAUUUUCCCUGGCAUGCAUCGGCAGUAUCCUGUGUCCAAUGGCCGGAAAUAAAGUCAGUGCUUCCUACAUGAAGGUGUUGCAUGAUGUUAAUUCCAUAGCAUUGAAAGACUGGGCCACAUUCUGCGUGCGGUUCCUUAUGGAGUCCAUCAGGAAGUUCCAAGUGGGUGGGUACAAAUACUUGUCCGGAUGCUUAAUCUUUCUCCAGCUCUUCUAUUUGGAUCACGUUGACUCCGGUUACGUUGAUCGAACCAUUCCUUGCAUAGAUUUCUGGACGGACAUCCAAGUGAAGCGAGUGAAGAAGUGGCUUCAACAAUCAGGAGGAUUCCAAUUGAACAAUAUUCCGCUUGCUAGGGGGUCAGGACCGUAGCUGUUGGUACCUCUAAGUCCCCCCCUGUUGCUGUAGCUGAUGACGGGACAAAGCAGUAUGUUGACAGUCUAAGGCAGGUUGUAGAUGGUGUAAGGCAGGAUGUGGGCUCUCUGAAGCAAGACUUUGGCACAUUCAUGAGUGAGUUGACAGAAGUGAGAAAAAUCAUACUCACUUUACCACAAGAAACAUCUGCGAAAGUCCAAGUGGGUUUGGAUGCAAUGCAGAAGCAUUUAGACCAAAAGUUGAGUGAAAUAGCUUUAUCCAUUACAACCAGCCUGGUUGAAGAACGUACUAAAAAAGAGACCAUUGAGGAUAUCAUUAGGGCUGUUGCGGUUAAAGAUUCAGAGUCGACAAUGGAGUGCGAGGUGGAGAGUGUUGGAAAAAGACGAAAGAAUUUUGAGUUUAUAAAAAAAGAGAAGAAGGGAUUUAGUGAGAAAAAAAGUUAUACAGAGAACACCGAACCUGCGGCUGAGAGGGUAGUGCAUGAUCUUACGCACAUGGAGUUCGACGGGGAUAGUAGCCCCACAAAAUAAGUCCCCAAAAAAAAAAUUACUAGCGCAAACAGGUCCUUAUGGUGAGAAAGCCAUUGAAGUUUUCUCUAGUUCGGGGGGAAAGGUGGUGGGCUCUUUUCACCUAGAUGUGCCAGUCCUACUUGAGGUGAUGAAGCUUGCGAAAUGGAUGUUCAGCCCAUACUUGGAGUGGAGGUAUGGAAUCGUGCAAUUAAGUGUGUUUACCGAGUUUUUCGGAAACGAAUACAAACAAAAUAAUAAAAAGAUAAGAACUGUAGAAGUGCAGAAAUAUAAAUAAACAAACAGGUUUUUUACGUGGUUCAGGCGUUAACGAGUCCUAGUCCACGAGUCGAUGUUAUUAUACUUGUAGUGAAUUACAGUGAAAUGGCUGGUGUAUAAGACCCUCACAAACUCACAAUGUUUCUCUCGGGUUCUCUUGAAGAAGAUGAAGCUAGAGAGAUUUUUGGCAGAGUUCCUGCUCUCUAAUUUUUUUGACCCCCUCCUAUCGUAAAAUGAGGAGGUCUUUAUAGCUAGGGUUUUGGAUUAGGGUUUCACUCUGCCUCCCUGAGCCUUAAUUACACCAGCCAUAAAUAGGGGAUACAAUUACCGUAGUCGCCUGGCUACCAGGCUCUAUGUGGGUAUAUUUACAUGAAAGUAUGGGGAAUGCACAAAGGCAGCUGUCUUUUCCAAGCUGUCAGCGGAACAGUAGGCGAAAUGGUACUUUUAGGCGUGCUGGGAUGUGUGCGGCCUCGACCUGUCAGGCGUGUCAGGCGGGAUCCUGUGUCAGGUGGAUAUCACUCCAACUAUGCCUCCUCCAUGACUCGGCCGCUUGGUCUUCUUUCGUGCGAGGCACAGGACUGUAUCCGCGAAGGUAACCUGAAGAGCUUCUCCUGGAAGAACCUUCCCCGAAGGAUAUCCCUUCGGGAGUUCGGGAGAAUUGACGAGCUUCCGUGUCGCGGUUGCUUGAAAGAGUAAACUUGACACUAAACGGGAGAGGCGAAGCCUUUCUGUCCAUCCGCGAGCUCUGGUCACCUUUCGUGAAAGACUUUGAUAAUUCUGCUUCCCCGAGGCUAUCCAUCUAAACGCUAUUCGGAAAUCUGGAUAACAUUUACCCCCCAAGGUCACGGAGCUUUGAGAGGUCCGAGAGCUUGUACAGCCCUCCGGGUAUUCUGGUUUCUAGAUUAGGCGAGGGGUCACCUCCUAUGUUCCUGGAAGGGUUCCUUUUUCCCGCCUGAGUGUUAGUAUGAAAAAGAAAGGAAAUUUCUUUUGUUUGAACUCAAGUGCUCAAGUGUGGCAAUGGCCACGCGUCAUGCCGGGAAUGGCUCUGUGACCAAGACGUGUUCGUGAGGCGACUGGCUGAGUAUGCGUGCGUCAGGCAUCUGAGUAGUGAUUUGACGGUAUUUAAUGGUACACCGGGCCCGAGAUGGUAUAAUGAUGGGAAAUAAAUACUUUAUUCCCAUCUGAGGAGUCAUAAAUAGGACCGGCGCUUCAUCUCCAGCCGUCGGAUCUGAUGCAUGCGGUAUGGGAAGAUCAGGACCGUCCAUUUGUAGAAUUCGAAAGGACUUCGUUCCUGCUAUAAAAACGAGGGAACGGACCUUUCUUCCUCUUUACGCUCUCAAAUUCUCGAUCUUUCAGAUUUUCAGAUUCCCAAAUCUUCGAACUCUCAAGCUUCCAAGCUUCCUUUCCUUCGAAUUUGCCACUUCUUUUGGUAAGGAAUCUAGAAUCUUUUCUUUUGAUUUGGCAGUGGGUUUGUUCCCCGAAGUUCUGGGUUUGAAUCGUCGUUUGUCUUUGCAGCAUUUACUUCACGUGAUCGUGCGGUGCAGUGACCCGGUUACUCCUUCAAUCUUCAACUACCCGAACACCAGUAAGUAUUUCUACUUUGCUCUUUCCUUCCAAACCUUAGAUUGUUGGUAGUUGUUAGGGUUGAGUUUUCUGCCGGUGUCGUCUAUAUGCAUGCGUGAAUAGGGCUUUGAUAGGCAUGCGAUUGAUGUGAGUCGAUAAGUCAUUUCUUUGCAUGCUUUGCCGAUUUACUCUUGGAAAGGUGUUUUUCGUCUGCUUGUGCUGUCCUGGUUUAUUAUUUUAGGGCAUAAGCGUGAACGCCUUUAGGGUGUCUUUCCCUGGGAAAACAUUUCUCUCGGCGGGCUUAGGCUCGAAGUUUGAAUCUGGUUCCUUGCUGUCAUCCGGGUGGCAUGAUGCCAACCCCUCGGCAAGCUCGGUGGGAGCCUCUCCAAGCAGUUUUCGGGGAGGGUCUCCCCGACGCCUGUAAUGCCGUUAGGGUAUGACAAGGGUGCUGACUGCUAGGAGUGUUUUCUUCUUUGUUUCUUUUGCUUAGUGACGAACACCUCAAAGGAACAAGUCAUUGCUGCGGUAGAGGCUGAAUCUGCCCAGGAGCAGGGUUCCCCUGUUGCCGGCGCAAAGAAGAAAACAAAAGCUAAGGUGGCCACGGCUAGCCCACCGAUUAUCAAUAGUUCCAUCUGGGAGAUGGACCAGAAGCCGAACUUGUUCAGGAACUACGGCAUGCUGGAGCUGUAUUCCUCAGAAGCGGGCCUGAAGAACAUCCCGGGCCUGAUGUGGCACCGUCUGUCGGUGCUGGGUGAAUCUUCCAGCCAGAGUCACGAGGGUUUUGGUGCCUGGAGCUGGGCACACAUAUUGUGUGGGGCACAUUUGCCCCUAAGAAGUUAUUUUGCCAACUUCUGCGUGAAGGCGGGGAUUGCCCCCUUCCAGUUGAUUCCCCCAGCUACAAGCUUCUAGCGGGGUGGUAUAUCUUCUGCAAGUCCCGGGACCUGGAGGCCCCUACCUCGGAGGAGGUGCUAUACUUCUAUGGGCUGAAGUCUCAACCCAUGAGAGGUCAUGCAGACAAGGUGGGGUUUUAUAGGCUGGAGAGGUAUCCGGACGUGAUGUGUCCCACCUGUCAUACCGCGAGGGUUCCAGAUCUCCGGGAGUACUGGUUCCUGACGACUGGCUUCCCAUUGAAGAGGGUGCCAGCUCUGUCUUUGGACUUCAAAGUUCCUGGUAAGUGCUCCUUCCUUUCUUUUCUAGCUUUGUUUCUUCACGCUUGGUUUGCCUUCCGGGAGGAUCUCUAACACCCGUGUUUGGAUUCUGCAGAAGCCGUCCCGCGGACACCUCGCUGUGCGGAAAUGAUAAGGAGGUCAAACUUCUACGAGGGGCUCUCGGAGGAAGAGCUGAAGGUGGAAGGACUUGUGACCUCCGAAUCUUUGAGGGAGUAUGGGCUACUCGCCUCGUUCCAAAAUAUUGAGCCAGUGAGUGGCAGGGGGCAAAGUCAGGUGUCAGCUGACGUCCGGGAGCAGAUUGCCCUGAAGCUGUCCAAGGUGAUCUGUCAGGCGGCCCAGGACGAGAAUAAUUUAUCCCCCAGUUGGGCGGAGAAGAAAUUGAGGCUCGCUACGCCGCAGCUUACCCCAAUGAAGGGACUCCGGGAGCUGGUACUUCUGGGAAAGGUAAGAAUAGCUUUCGAUUGAUCCACACCCCCAGCCUGCCUGAGGUUUCCCGGACUUCUCAGAUAGGGUUCGAUCCCCGCUUCCUUAGGCUAGAUCCGCGUAGGAUACCCUUUGGCAGAUAUUGCGAUAGGGUAGAUGAGCUCCUCGGGUGUUUGAGUGACGAUAGUUUGUCAGAAGGUGUCACCAUGGUUGACCCUUCUUCCCUCAGCAUGUUAUUCCCGGACUUCGAGGAGCACGGGAGCUUCCUGGAGCAGGAAGCGAUGUCUUGUUUUGCUCGGGGAAGGCCAUCCACGUUUCUCGUGCAUGGUCGUCCCUUUCAAACUUUUCUCUUGCUUGUUUCUUGUUCCCCGCUGGUGGACUUGUUUGCGCUUUUAUGUUGUUGCAUGUUUUGUUUUCUGCUUAUCUUUCUUCACAUCGCUUGCUGGUUGGUUAACUUUGCUUCGUGCAUUGCUUGCAGAACAUCCCGAAGCAAAGAUGUUGGGGAGAGUCACCUUACUUAUCAAGAAGGCCGCCACCAGCCAAGAUCCGUCCAAGGGGAAAGGACGAAAAGCCAGAGCUGGUAGGGGAGGUAAAGCUGCCACAUCCAAGAAGACAGGUGGCGAGGCGCAAGUGUCUCCGGCGGUGGAGAGGUCUCCUGCCAAGGGGCCUUCCGAGACCAUGGCGGCCUCGAGUAGUAGCAGCGACGGGGAAGGGCUUGUGUUCCCCGCGAAGACGACCGGGACGAGCAAGCGCCCCGGAGGAGAGGCUGAGGGCGACAAGAAGAAACGCCUCAGACAUUCUUCUCCCGGAGGUGAUGGAGACCUCCGGGCUGCGCGCAGUCCUCGCUAGACUACUGUCACCCAGCAGCAACCACAACAACAACAACAACAGCAACAGCAAAGACAACCACCACCGUCGCAGCAGCAGCAAAAACAACAGCAAAAUCAGCAGCAACAACAAAGGCAAUUACUUCCGCCACCGCAGCAGCAAAAGCAACAGCAACAACAACAGCAACAACAAAGGCAAUCACCUCCGCCAUCGCAGCAGCAAAAACAACAGCAACACCAGCAGCAACAACAAACCGGGGCGGUAGUUUCUUCCCUACCGUCCCCAAUACCCCGUUUACCUCCUCCUCCAGUCCAAAGGGAGUCCACCCUUCCGGGGUCUCCUUCUUCUCCUUCUCUUCCACUUUCUCAACAAACAAGCCUUCCUCAGCCUGGCCUGAAGUUCCAAUUCCCUCAGAAACCAACCCGUUUCUCCGCUGCCCUCCUGGAGGGUGUAAGACGGGCUGAUAAUUUUUUGAAGAGGCGGUUGGAGGCCGAGAAAGCUGUUACUCAGGGAAGGGCAGACAACCUGUCUGCCGUGAAGAGAGCUGAGCUGGCAGAAGGGGUGAGAUCCCUUCACCCGGCUGGAGCGGUUCUAGAUGGCCCAGCCUUGGAGAAGAGGCUGGUGCCUAGACUCGGGCGUGCUUUGGCGCCGUUCGGGGCGGAGAUGAUGGAAGACAUGGCCUUGAGCUUGUGCGAGCUCAAUUCUGAGAAAUGGGCCAUCAGUAGCAGUAAGGACCCGCUGUUGCUGACACAUGCCGUAAAGCAGCAACUUACUGGGGUGAGCUAUCAAUUACUGUGUUCUGGGGUCGUUAGUCUUAGUACAUUUAGUUCUGCUUAACUUAUUCUGCUGUUUUUCCUUGCAGGCCUCUCUUAUCGCGGAACGCUCGUUCCGGGAGGUGGGUGCAGUUCUGGUUCAGCUGGAGGAGAGCCAGGCGGGUCGCCAGGCCUUGGAGGCGGAGAAGCAGAAACUGACCCAACAGGUCGAGGGCAUGAAGGGGGAGGCUAUGGAGAAGAUUAGCCAGGCCCGGCGCACAGCCGAGGAAGAGGCGGAUAAGAAAUAUCUUGCCAAAUAUCGAGAGUACCGGGCCAGCGCGAAGAAUGAGUUCAAGCAGCGGUCGGAUGACUUGAAGGCCCAUAACUCCAAGCUCCAGGAAGAGCUAUCCCAGGCCAGGGGGGAGAAGGACACCCUGGAUGCCCGCUUGCAAUCGAAAAACGAUCUCCUCCUUAAGUAGAACGAGGAAUACGCCAUUCUUCAGAAUAAGCUGCACGAGGAGGAGCAAGAUCAUAAGAGGAGCAAGGAUCUCGCGUCUAUGCUGGAGUUGGGGCUUGCUGAGAAGGAUAAACAGAUUGGAGCCUUGCAAUUUACUGUCAGGGGGCAUUUGACCGAGAAGCAAUCCUUGCUGGAUCAAAAUAGGGUGCAGCGCAAGGAGAUUGAUUCCCUUAAGGGAGAGCGGGAUGCAUCCAAAGGCCGAGCUGGAAAAACUGAGGGCUCAAUUGGUUGUCGCGGAAGCAAAGCUGGCGACCUCUGAGGCGGAGCGCUUGAAGGAGAAGGAAAAUGCCGAGGUGGUGCUGAAUAGAACGAUUAAUCUAUCCCACGUGGUCCUCAUGCACCAACUUUGGAAAAUAAACCCGGAGGUAGUAGGCUACCUGGGAGAGGACGUCGCCGCCAUGAGGGAAAAGAUACAGGCGUGGGAUCAAAGCCCAGAGGUGUACGUCCAGACUUAUAACAUUGACGAGCCUGCUGGAGUCCCUGAGGCAGAAGAUCCCGAAGAGGCGGGGACCUCUGAACUUGCCAUUGAUGACGUUCCAUCUUCCAAUGAACUGACUCCGCCAGCCCCAGUUGAAACCGCUGUCUCCGAGACCCCGGUCGUGGAUGCCGCUGCCACCCCCAGUGCUUGAAGGGGUCUUAUCUUUUGUAAAAAAUAUUCUUUACUGAUUAUUAUUUUUCAUUUGUAUUUUUCUUUGGGGCGAAGCUCCCUGUACUCUUUUCUCAUUGCAGACAUAUUUGCCAUAAUUAUAGCAUUCUUCUUUCCUUUUC
Humulus lupulus (European hop) is the source of this 9137-nucleotide RNA transcript. RefSeq lists it as uncharacterized. NCBI's taxonomy places the organism in Eukaryota, Viridiplantae, Streptophyta, Magnoliopsida, Rosales, Cannabaceae. The transcript has 4 exons. The record is from RefSeq and is a predicted model, not a curated record.